UGAUGCAGCGACGCCGCGUGAGGGAUGACGGACUUCGGGUUGUAAACCUCUUUCAGCAGGGAAGAAGCGAAAGUGACGGCACCUGCAGAAGAUGCGCCGGCUAACUACUUGCCAGCAGCCGCGGWAAUACGUAGGUCGCAAGCGUUGUCCGGAAUUAUUGGGCGUAAAGAGMUCGUAGGCGGCUUGUCACGUCGGGUGUGAAAGCCCGGKGCUUAACCCCGGKCCUGCAUUCGAUACGGGCUAGCUAGAGUGUGGUAGGGGAGAUCGGAAUUCCUGGUGUAGCGGUGAAAUGYKCAGAUAUCAGGAGGAACACCGGWGSCGAAGGCGGAUCUCUGGGCCAUUACUGACGCUGAGGAUYGAAAGCGUGGGGAGCGAACAGGAUUAWAUACCCUGRUAKUCCACGCCGUAAACGGUGGKAACUAGGUGUUGGCGACAUUCCACGUCGUCGGUGCCGCAGCUAACGCAUUAAGUUCCCCGCCUGGSGAGUACGGUCGCAAGGCUAAAACUCAAUGGAAUUGACGGRGGYCCGCACAAGCAGYGGAGCAUGUGGCUUAAUUUCGAYGCAACKCGAAKAACCUUACCAAGGYUUGACWUACGCCGKAAAG
This 605-nucleotide ribosomal RNA is filed under the name Streptomyces sp. Its description in RNAcentral is "partial 16S ribosomal RNA". It matches the Rfam family "Bacterial small subunit ribosomal RNA", at positions 384 to 998 of the family's 1533-position model. Lineage: Bacteria; Bacillati; Actinomycetota; Actinomycetes; Kitasatosporales; Streptomycetaceae. The record is from RNAcentral.